UACGUAGGGGGCAAGCGUUGUCCGGAAUCAUUGGGCGUAAAGCGCGUGUAGGCGGCCAGAUAAGUCCGCUGUGAAAUCUCGAGGCUCAACUUCGAGCUGUCGGUGGAAACUGUCUGGCUAGAGUCCGGAAGAGGAGAAUGGAAUUCCUGGUGUAGCGGUGAAAUGCGCAGAUAUCAGGAAGAACACCGGUGGCGAAGGCGGGUCUCUGGGCCGUAACUGACGCUGAGGAGCGAAAGCGUGGGGAGCGAACAGG
Molecule: ribosomal RNA, 253 nt
Filed under: uncultured bacterium
Lineage: Bacteria
Description: partial 16S ribosomal RNA
Rfam family: Bacterial small subunit ribosomal RNA
Source: RNAcentral